GAGUGACUGAUGGGGUAAUGGGAGCCUCUGGGGGGUCAGCCAGGUGUGUGUUACUGCAGCAGCAAGGUCACUGCUCCCAGGGCAGCCAGGUGUGUGUUACUGCAGCAGCAGGGUCACUGCUCCCAGGGCAGCCAGGUGUGUGUUACUGCAGCAGCAGGGUCACUGCUCCCAGGGCAGCCAGGUGUGUGUUACUGCAGCAGCAGGGUCACUGCUCCCAGGGCAGCCAGGUGUGUGUUACUGCAGCAGCAGGGUCACUGCUCCCAGGGCAGCCAGGUGUGUGUUACUGCAGCAGCAAGGUCACUGCUCCCAGGGCAGCCAGGUGUGUGUUACUGCAGCAGCAGGGUCACUGCUCCCAGGGCAGCCAGGUGUGUGUUACUGCAGCAGCAGGGUCACUGCUCCCAGGGCAGCCAGGUGUGUGUUACUGCAGCAGCAGGGUCACUGCUCCCAGGGCAGCCAGGUGUGUGUUACUGCAGCAGCAGGGUCACUGCUCCCAGGGCAGCCAGGUGUGUGUUACUGCAGCAGCAGGGUCACUGCUCCCAGGGCAGCCAGGUGUGUGUUACUGCAGCAGCAGGGUCACUGCUCCCAGGGCAGCCAGGUGUGUGUUACUGCAGCAGCAAGGUCACUGCUCCCAGGGCAGCCAGGUGGGGUACUCAGGAGGCUGUAACAGAAAGGGUGCUGCCUUCGAAUUGGGAUGAACACACAGCAGUUUAUUUCAUAAAACUCCCUACAGGCAGUCAGGAUCUGCUGCAGUGGUGUAAUGUUCUUUUGCCUCCUUCACCACUGUGUUACUGUUAACCACACAUCCAGAAGACAGAGGGAAUUUGACAGCAAUUUCUUUUAGUUGAAUGCUUCACAGUCACUGGUGGAUAUCAAAGCAAUAAGGGACUCUGCUAAUAACCUGACUGCUUAGAAUGGAAAUUCCUUCCUGCAAGGACAUGCUAGGUCAGAUUAUAAAGGAUCUUAUAAGGCACGACAACUUUAUAAAUAAUUUAUAAGACUUAAUUCCAGCACUUUGCAGGGAGGCACCUUUGAAAUGAGCGCUGCCUGUUAACCUGAAGGAUCAUGUCUCAUGCAGCAGACUUCUGUCUCUUGGCCUGCUGAAGAUGGCUUUAAGUGGAAUCACCAGUUUGACACAAAGCCGUGUGUCUUCAGUGCUUAUUGUAUUUUAGCCUUGGUGUGAACUGUGACAGACUAGAUUUAACUUGAGCUGAAGGAAAUAUGAGUAUAUAUUAGUGAAGUAGCAAAGCCAAGUGUGCACUCUUAGCAUUGUAGUCCUGCUCUGUGCAGCUUUCCUAGGAGAAUUUUGGAGUAAAACUUAGAGAACCAUUUCCAUAGUUAUAAAAAGUAUUGAAAGCCAUAAGGGUUUUUUUAAAUAGUAAUUAUUUUUCUUGACUCAUGAUAUGCUCUGUUCUGUUUG
Molecule: long non-coding RNA, 1417 nt
Organism: Serinus canaria (Common canary)
Lineage: Eukaryota; Metazoa; Chordata; Aves; Passeriformes; Fringillidae
Exons: 3
Source: RefSeq, a predicted model, not a curated record